This is a non-coding RNA of Nylanderia fulva, 427 nucleotides long. NCBI's taxonomy places the organism in Eukaryota, Metazoa, Arthropoda, Insecta, Hymenoptera, Formicidae. The record is from RefSeq and is a predicted model, not a curated record.
AGUUAAAAAUUUAUAUGUUGUGCACGGGAUAUUCUAUAAUAUCCUAAUCGCAAUCAAUAGAAAUUGAACCGUGUGCAUUAUCUUACUGAUAUCAUGACGAUGAGACAGAUCUGUUACGUGAUUGUUCCAAUGUGUUUUUUUCGAUAUUUCUAGUUAAUUUUUUCUUGUUUUUAGUCACAGCGCUUACUUGUAUUUUAUUUGAUGAACAAUUCUGACAGUGAAGUUAUUCCAUGCUAAAAAGAUGUCAUUCGCAAUAUCAACGAAUUACUAGAAAAAUGUAAUUUUUAUUCGUUUAUAUUGGUGAGAGUUAUUGGCGAUUGGAAAUUGGUCUCAAAAAUGAUUAACAAUUAUUGUCGGGAAAACUCACUUUAGAAAAAUGUAUAAACAUGAGAUAUCACAGCAAAUAUAUUUCUUAAUUGUUCAAGUC